CGGACGGGUGAGUAACACGUAGAGAACCUACCUUACACACGGGGGACAACGGCUGGAAACGGCUGCUAAUACCGCAUAAGCACCCAGGUUUCGCAUGAAACAGAGUGAAAAGAGUAAAUCGGUGUAAGAUGGCUCUGCGUCUGAUUAGCUAGUUGGUCGGGGUAAAGGCUCACCAAGGCGACGAUCAGUAGCCGGCCUGAGAGGGCGACCGGCCACAUUGGGACUGAGACACGGCCCAGACUCCUACGGGAGGCAGCAG
This 259-nucleotide ribosomal RNA is filed under the name uncultured bacterium. Its description in RNAcentral is "partial 16S ribosomal RNA". It matches the Rfam family "Bacterial small subunit ribosomal RNA", at positions 99 to 354 of the family's 1533-position model. The record is from RNAcentral.